GACGAACGCUGGCGGCGUGCUUAACACAUGCAAGUCGAACGGAAAGGCCCUGCUUGCCGGGUACUCGAGUGGCGAACGGGUGAGUAACACGUGGGUGAUCUGCCCUGCACUUCGGGAUAAGCCUGGGAAACUGGGUCUAAUACCGGAUAGGAGCCAUUUUUAGUGUGAUGGUUGGAAAGUUUUUUCGGUGUAGGAUGAGCUCGCGGCCUAUCAGCUUGUUGGUGGGGUAAUGGCCUACCAAGGCGGCGACGGGUAGCCGGCCUGAGAGGGUGGACGGCCACAUUGGGACUGAGAUACGGCCCAGACUCCUACGGGAGGCAGCAGUGGGGAAGAUUGCACAAUGGGCGCAAGCCUGAUGCAGCGACGCCGCGUGGGGGAGGACGGCCUUCGGGUUGUAAACUCCUUUCGCUAGGGACGAAGCUUUUUGUGACGGUACCUAGAGAAGAAGCACCGGCUAACUACGUG
Molecule: ribosomal RNA, 465 nt
Filed under: uncultured bacterium
Lineage: Bacteria
Description: partial 16S ribosomal RNA
Rfam family: Bacterial small subunit ribosomal RNA
Source: RNAcentral